AUUGAACGCUGGCGGCAUGCUUUACACAUGCAAGUCGAACGGCAGCGCGGGCUUCGGCCUGGCGGCGAGUGGCGAACGGGUGAGUAAUACAUCGGAACGUGCCCAGUAGUGGGGGAUAGCUCGGCGAAAGCCGGAUUAAUACCGCAUACGACCUGAGGGUGAAAGCGGGGGAUCUUCGGACCUCGCGCUAUUGGCGCGGCCGAUGGCAGAUUAGCUAGUUGGUGGGGUAAAGGCCUACCAAGGCGACGAUCUGUAGCUGGUCUGAGAGGACGACCAGCCACACUGGGACUGAGACACGGCCCAGACUCCUACGGGAGGCAGCAGUGGGGAAUUUUGGACAAUGGGCGAAAGCCUGAUCCAGCAAUGCCGCGUGUGUGAUGAAGGCCUUCGGGUUGUAAAGCACUUUUGGCGGGAACGAAAAGGACUGUGCCAAUACCACGGUUCGAUGACGGUACCCGCAGAAUAAGCACCGGCUAACUACGUG
Molecule: ribosomal RNA, 484 nt
Filed under: uncultured bacterium
Lineage: Bacteria
Description: partial 16S ribosomal RNA
Rfam family: Bacterial small subunit ribosomal RNA
Source: RNAcentral